ACACCCCCAACAGCUAGCCCCCCACCCAAAAACAACAAACACCAUUAAUAAACCCGCAUGUAUAAAACAGCAAACAACAAACCAUUUUUCCUCCCUAGUAUGGGUGACAGAAAAGGACAUAAGGCGCAACAGAAAAAG
This 138-nucleotide ribosomal RNA is filed under the name Gymnogobius isaza. Its description in RNAcentral is "partial 16S ribosomal RNA". Lineage: Eukaryota; Metazoa; Chordata; Actinopteri; Gobiiformes; Gobiidae. The record is from RNAcentral.